This 24-nucleotide non-coding RNA is filed under the name Arabidopsis thaliana (thale cress). Lineage: Eukaryota; Viridiplantae; Streptophyta; Magnoliopsida; Brassicales; Brassicaceae. RNAcentral also lists the same sequence under 2 other names. The record is from RNAcentral.
UAACUGGCUUGUGGCAGCCAAGCG